RNAcentral lists this ribosomal RNA (599 nucleotides) under Maricaulis parjimensis. Its description in RNAcentral is "bacterial SSU rRNA". It matches the Rfam family "Bacterial small subunit ribosomal RNA", at positions 98 to 732 of the family's 1533-position model. The record is from RNAcentral. Lineage: Bacteria; Pseudomonadati; Pseudomonadota; Alphaproteobacteria; Maricaulales; Maricaulaceae.
GCAGACGGGUGAGUAACGCGUGGGAACAUACCUUUCGGUUCGGAAUAGCCCCGGGAAACUGGGUGUAAUACCGGAUACGUCCUUAGGGAGAAAGAUUUAUCGCCGAAAGAUUGGCCCGCGUUAGAUUAGGUAGUUGGUGGGGUAAAAGCCUACCAAGCCUACGAUCUAUAGCUGGUCUGAGAGGAUGAUCAGCCACACUGGGACUGAGACACGGCCCAGACUCCUACGGGAGGCAGCAGUGAGGAAUCUUGGACAAUGGGCGCAAGCCUGAUCCAGCCAUGCCGCGUGAAUGAUGAAGGCCUUAGGGUUGUAAAAUUCUUUCAGCAGGGAAGAUAAUGACGGUACCUGCAGAAGAAGCCCCGGCUAACUCCGUGCCAGCAGCCGCGGUAAUACGGAGGGGGCUAGCGUUGUUCGGAAUUACUGGGCGUAAAGCGCUCGUAGGCGGAUUGGUCAGUCAGGGGUGAAAGCCCGGAGCUCAACUCCGGAACUGCCUUUGAUACUGCCAGUCUUGAGUUCGGGAGAGGUGAGCGGAAUACCGAGUGUAGAGGUGAAAUUCGUAGAUAUUCGGUGGAACACCAGAGGCGAAGGCGGCUCACUGG